This is a long non-coding RNA of Homo sapiens (human), 526 nucleotides long. RefSeq lists it as uncharacterized. The record is from RefSeq and is a predicted model, not a curated record. The transcript is spliced from 3 exons. Lineage: Eukaryota; Metazoa; Chordata; Mammalia; Primates; Hominidae.
AGAACUGUAACACUCACUGCGAGGGUCCAUGGCUUCAUUCUUGAAGUCAGUGAGACCAAGAACCCACCAAUUCCGGGCACAUUUUGGUGACCACGAAGGGACUAUCACCUAUUGCCAAGCGGUGAGGCUAUCGCCAAGCAGUGAGACCAUUGCCUGUCACUGUGCGGCGAGACAAUUGCUUAUCGCCAAGCAACCAUGUGACAUUUGGUGCCGUAACUCAGAUCGGGGAACCUCCCUUGGGAGAUCAGUCCCCUGUCAUCCUGCUCUUUGCUCCAUGAGAAAGAUCCACCUAUGACCUCUGGUCCUCAGACCAACCAGCCCAAGGAACAUCUCACCAAUUUUAAAUUGGAGACAGAGGAAACGUGUUCUAUCUGUGAACCCAAAACUCCAGCACUGGUCAUGGACUUGGAAAGACAGUCUUCCCUUGAUGUUUAAUCACUGCAGGGAUGCCUGCCUGAUUAUUCACCCACAUUUCAGAGCUGUCUGAUCACUGCAGGGACGCCUGCCUGGAUCCUUCACCUUAGUG